AUUACCGAGUUUACAACUCCCAAACCCAAUGUGAACGUUACCAAACUGUUGCCUCGGCGGGAUCUCUGCCCCGGGUGCGUCGCAGCCCCGGACCAAGGCGCCCGCCGGAGGACCAACCAAAACUCUUUAUGUAUACCCCCUCGCGGGUUUUUUUACAAUCUGAGCCAUCUCGGCGCCCCUCGUGGGCGUUUCGAAAAUGAAUCAAAACUUUCAACAACGGAUCUCUUGGUUCUGGCAUCGAUGAAGAACGCAGCGAAAUGCGAUAAGUAAUGUGAAUUGCAGAAUUCAGUGAAUCAUCGAAUCUUUGAACGCACAUUGCGCCCGCCAGUAUUCUGGCGGGCAUGCCUGUCCGAGCGUCAUUUCAACCCUCGAACCCCUCCGGGGGGUCGGCGUUGGGGAUCGGCCCUUUACGGGGCCGGCCCCGAAAUACAGUGGCGGUCUCGCCGCAGCCUCUCCUGCGCAGUAGUUUGCACACUCGCAUCGGGAGCGCGGCGCGUCCAUUGCCGUAAAACACCCAACUUUCUGAAAUGUUGACCUCGGAUCAGGUAGGAAUACCCGCUGAACUUAAGCAUAUCAAUAAGCGGAGGAAAAGAAACCAACAGGGAUUGCCCCAGUAACGGCGAGUGAAGCGGCAACAGCUCAAAUUUGAAAUCUGGCCCCUAGGGUCCGAGUUGUAAUUUGUAGAGGAUGCUUUUGGUGAGGUGCCGCCCGAGUUCCCUGGAACGGGACGCCACAGAGGGUGAGAGCCCCGUCUGGCUGGCCGCCGAGCCUCUGUAAAGCUCCUUCGACGAGUCGAGUAGUUUGGGAAUGCUGCUCAAAAUGGGAGGUAUAUGUCUUCUAAAGCUAAAUAUUGGCCAGAGACCGAUAGCGCACAAGUAGAGUGAUCGAAAGAUGAAAAGCACCUUGAAAAGAGGGUUAAAUAGUACGUGAAAUUGUUGAAAGGGAAGCGCUUGUGACCAGACUUGGGCGCGGCGGAUCAUCCGGGGUUCUCUCCGGUGCACUUCGCCGCGUCUAGGCCAGCAUCAGUUCGUCGCGGGGGAAAAAGGCUUCGGGAACGUGGCUCCUCCGGGAGUGUUAUAGCCCGUUGCAUAAUACCCUGCGGUGGACUGAGGACCGCGCAUCUGCAAGGAUGCUGGCGUAAUGGUCACCAGCGACC
RNAcentral lists this ribosomal RNA (1156 nucleotides) under uncultured Trichoderma. Its description in RNAcentral is "eukaryotic LSU rRNA". The stretch from base 532 to 1156 matches the Rfam family "Eukaryotic large subunit ribosomal RNA", at positions 1 to 649 of the family's 3401-position model. Lineage: Eukaryota; Fungi; Ascomycota; Sordariomycetes; Hypocreales; Hypocreaceae. The record is from RNAcentral.